This 18-nucleotide unclassified non-coding RNA is filed under the name Mus musculus (house mouse). RNAcentral describes it as "oocyte_clustered_small_RNA12513". The record is from RNAcentral. Lineage: Eukaryota; Metazoa; Chordata; Mammalia; Rodentia; Muridae.
UGCAAUUGCAUAGCACCA